GCGGGGGUUGCCAAGCCUGGCCAACGGCGCAGGUCCUCAUGUGUUACAAAAAUACAUGGUUGUGCGAGGCUUAGAAUGGGUCAGGUCUUUUCUCCUAAAACCCUGUUCCUAAGGGAUUCGUGGGUUCAAAUCCCACCCCCCGCA
This 144-nucleotide transfer RNA is filed under the name Nitrososphaeraceae archaeon. Its description in RNAcentral is "tRNA-OTHER". Lineage: Archaea; Thermoproteati; Nitrososphaerota; Nitrososphaeria; Nitrososphaerales; Nitrososphaeraceae. RNAcentral also lists the same sequence under 2 other names. The record is from RNAcentral.